RNAcentral lists this long non-coding RNA (2703 nucleotides) under Olea europaea subsp. europaea. The record is from RNAcentral. Lineage: Eukaryota; Viridiplantae; Streptophyta; Magnoliopsida; Lamiales; Oleaceae.
UGAUGAAGGAGAUGAUUGGGGAUGUUCUGCAAUCUCUAAAAGAUUAGGUGGGUAAUCAUUUAUGAGUUUCUAUUUGCUUUGUCAUUGCAAGUAGUUUGUUUGUAAAGUUUGAAUUUUAUUGAUACUAUUAUUGAUUGGUCUAUUUUAAUUUCUUGAAUUUAUUAAGAGAUCAAAUGACACAAAAAAAUGAAAGAAUUGAGCACAAUUUUUAACCAGAUAACAAGCUCACAUUUCUUGUUUUAGAGUAUAUUAUUAUAGAAUGUAAGAAUGAUGCAUAAGAAAUUGGUUUCAUGGAUUAGAGUUUUAGUUCACUAGCUACUCUUUACACUAGAGUAAUUAUUUAUUUCUGGGUUUCAUAUAGUUAUUUAGGAGGUAUUCCAUUAUUUAUUCCAUUGCUUGUGUUAGAAUUACAUAACUAACUAUGUUGCCCUUUUCUAGCAGGGUGUCUAUAUCUGCAUUUUAUGUGAUUAAAAGCUUCAUGAGCUUAUUAUAUAAAUUUCGAAGUGUGACUCUCUUGCUUGUCAAAGUUGUCCAAAGCCUAGGCAUGAUCAGUCCAUCAAUGUGGUUCUAUUUUAUACUCCCUUGGUCUUGUUGUGAAAAGUUUCUACAAUAUAUAUGCUAUUUUCUAUCAAAGACUCGUCGAUCUAUUUUCUUUGACUAUCAUUGGACUUUUGCCAGUUAUGCUGUAAUUAACAAAUUGAUUCUCUCUCUUUGUGCUAUUUUCAGGACGCCAUUAUAAGAUCCAUCUUGUUAUUCUCACCUCUUGUUGUCCUAAUCGCUCGAGGUAUUGGUUCAUUUCUCAUUGUGACCUAUUUUUCUCUGAAUUAGAGUUUAUGAUGAUUGAUUUGAAAUUUUAUAAUGUUUAUAAGUAGUUUAAGUAAUCAUUCAUUUUUAAUUCAAACAAUAGAGUUAAAGUGUCAUUUUUUAGGAGGGAAAUUGCGGUACUGACUAAUUAUGUCUUCACAUAGAGUAACAAAAUGUUGGCUAGUCAAGAAUGGCCUCCAUAGGAAAUAUAAAUCUGCCAGUUUCAGCAUUAAUAAUUGAAUUACUAUAUCUUGCCAUAAUAUAAAACCCACAACAAUAGGCAGUGCUGAAGUGUAUGGCAGAUGAUCUGGAAAACAAGGAAAUUAUAGAAAGGCUUUGGUUACACUCCCAACUCUAGUUCUAUACUAAAUUUGACUUAUAGUUAUGAUUAAGAUCGUCGAAAUUACUGUCAUGGUAACUUUUUGAUGAUGAUUAUAACCUGGAUAUAUAGUGAACAAGGACAUAAAUAAGUGAUUGUUCUUUGCCUAGUGAUCUGAAUUAGGAAAAUUCAACAAAAUUUGAAGCAUAUUGGUGCAGGUCUCCAUUUGCAUUCCUCUAAACAUAGUGAUUUAAAUUUGCUAAAUUUUAAUUAUUUUUUUUCACAGAACCACAUAAAUACUCUCAUUGAGUCCCACACAAAAGCUUAACUUGUGAGCUUAUAACUACUUGAGCAUCUUUUGUAGAUAAACUGGUUUUAAAUAUGUGAUCUACUUGACAUGCUCAGAAGUAGAUCACAUGCUCAGAAUACUUCAACUAGUUUUUAGUAACAUAAAUUCUUUUUUACGAGAGAUGCUUGAAAAUCUCUUGCACGGUAUCCUCAAUUUGUUAUAAGCUAAUACUAACAAUAGCCAGAAUUCAAAUGGAAAUUUCUAUCAGUUGGGCUAAGAUAGAAAUAAUUAGCUUAUUCACCAGGCUAAAUGAUUCACAAAUCGAUCACUCACUUUGUCUUCAUAUUUAUGCUGCUGUAUCCAUAAAAUAAGUUAUGUUUUUAGUUUACUGAUAGCAAAGUAUGAUCCUGUAAAGAUGCCUGAAACUUGUGGAUUGGUAUAUCUUGAUUGUAAAAUAAAUGCCCCUCUAGAUUACAAAUGAAACUGGUACAAACUGUCAGGCAGUUUGCAACUCCACUUUUUUUUUUUUGAAUUUGAAAGACUGGAAAAUGAGAAAGAAUUAGAAGAAGAAUGUGAAAAGUUUACGUGGCGUCAUGAGAAUGUGUUUGAUGGAAAGCAUUCCUUUUUAUAAUUAGUUAGGUAUUUAAUUUUACUCGGCAAUAUAUUGGUUCCAUUUCUCCAUCUAUGAAAUGCAGCUUUUCCAAAUUAGUUCCACUCACUUUUAGAAAUAUAUUGUUCCAAAUUCUUUCUUGAAUUGUACAAUCUAGGGGUCAAAUGAGUAGAAAAUAGUAGAUUUUCUGUGAAGUAUUUAGAAAAUAUCAAGAGAAAUAUGAAUUACAUUAUAUGAUUGCAAAAAUUAAUAUUCGUUUCAAAUAUUGCAAUUUACUUAUGAGAAUGACUUAUAAGGAGACAUAGGAGAGAUUGUCAAUCAUAAUUUAUUGUUUAAUUCUUUUAACGAAUAUUUAUGAAGGAUCUUUAUUGCAGAUGUUUUUGUGGUGUCACUGGAUAAGACCAGAAAAGCAACACGCAAUGCAGUAAAUAUUUUUGCCAUUCCAUGCAGUGCAAAUGGUAGGCUUUAUGAUGGCUAUUGCAUUAGGCACUGCCAACGUUGAUUAUGGAACUUGUUAUAUUAUUUCUUUUUAUUUUGCUUUUGAAUGGAUGAAUGAAAGUAAACUUGAUCUGGGAAGCGAUGCAUAAUUUGUUGGACAUGAAAUGUAUCCAAAAUUUAAGCUUUCUUAUGAACAAGCAUUCACUCGUGAGAAACUUUUGUUUGUUGGAAAUUACAUUUGGC